RNAcentral lists this non-coding RNA (426 nucleotides) under Trichomonas vaginalis G3. RNAcentral describes it as "Eukaryotic large subunit ribosomal RNA". It matches the Rfam family "Eukaryotic large subunit ribosomal RNA", at positions 2884 to 3401 of the family's 3401-position model. Lineage: Eukaryota; Parabasalia; Trichomonadida; Trichomonadidae. The record is from Rfam by way of RNAcentral.
UCGGCUCUUCCUAUCCUAGUGAUGUACAAGUUGCUAAGGGUCGGAUUGUUCACCCGUAUUAGGGAUCGUGAGCUGGGUUUAGACCGUCGUGAGCCAGGUUUGUUUUAUCCUACUGGAUAUAGCAUCAUGAUAGUAGAUUGAUUUAGUACGAGAGGAACUGUUGAUUAUGGCCUCUGGUUAGCGAUUAUCGGAAACGGUAUGUCGCGCAGCUACGCCGUCUGGGAUAAUGGCUGAAAGCCUCUUAAGCCAGAAGCCCAUCUAGAAAGUGAUGCACGUGAUGUUGGACCGAUACGAAUAAUCAUACUCAAAAGGUCCGCUUCAUAGGUAACCCAAUGUAGAAGACAUUGUGUGAACGAAGGUACUGUAAGCAGUGGAGUGGCAUUACGUCCACGACCUGUUGAGGUUCAGCUUCGCUUCUAGGUUUCC